UGCACUUGUUCCCAUGUCUGUAAAUUACUUCUAAAACAUAUUUGUCUUUUCUUACAAGCUUCCAGGAAGUGCAACAGGGAAACAGAUGGGGCUUAAUGAUGUGAUCAACCAUCAGAUGGUCACAGACUGCAGUGCUUAACCUACCCAGACUCCCCAAAAGCUAAUGAGGAAUCGUUGUUGACCAGUGAAGAACAGUCCUGGCAAAACAAACUUGCUGUUUUAAUUGAAUACAGAACAAGUAAAGGUUAACCAGGCCUAGAAGCUGAAGACUCAAUGUGCAUGAUGUGUCAUGGACACUGAUAGUGGCACUGGAGGAAGGAGGAAGAAGAUAGGAAGAAGUUAUAGUGCCUACGAACCAACCGAACACUUAGACUUUCUCUUACUCCUUCU
Pseudophryne corroboree (corroboree frog) is the source of this 390-nucleotide long non-coding RNA. RefSeq lists it as uncharacterized. Lineage: Eukaryota; Metazoa; Chordata; Amphibia; Anura; Myobatrachidae. The record is from RefSeq and is a predicted model, not a curated record. The transcript has 3 exons.